Long non-coding RNA from Oncorhynchus tshawytscha (Chinook salmon), 770 nucleotides. The record is from Ensembl. NCBI's taxonomy places the organism in Eukaryota, Metazoa, Chordata, Actinopteri, Salmoniformes, Salmonidae.
GCCCAUUGAGGUCCCAGGACUGAGGAUAUACCCAGCGGGAUUCAUUUUUAAAUGGUGAUUCUAGUGUUAUGUGUAAACAUCACACACAGCCUCCCACUCUAGCAGGGGGCUCUUGUAAAGGUAGGGAUGCAUGAUUAAAAAAAGAUGCAGGGAGAUCCUGGUUCGAUCCCAGGCUGUGCCGCAGCCGGCAGCGACCGGAAGACCCACGAGGCGGCGUACAAUUGGCCCAGUGUCGUCCGGGUUUGGGGAGGGUUUGGCCAGCCGUGAUGUCCUUGUGUCAUCGCGCUCUAGCGGCUCCUGUGGUGGCCCGGGUGCAUGCACGCUGACACGGUCGUCAGGUGUACAGUGUUUCAUUCAACACAUUGAUGCGGCUGGCUUCCAAGUCAAAUCAAGAAGCAGUGCAGCUUGGCGAGGUUGUGUUUCCGAGGAUGAACUGCUCUCUCCCGAGUCCGUAUGGGAGUUGUAGCGAUGGAACAAGACUAAUAAGGCUGUUACAAAAUGUGGGAAAGGGGAAGGGGUCUGUAUACUUUCCAAAUGCACUGACCCAGCAGCAGGAUGUUCCCAGGCUUGAUGUCGUGGUGGACCAGACCGUGCUCGUGGAUGAACUCCAGGGCACUGGUGAUCUGAAGGACACAGCGCUUCACAGCACACUCUGGGAUACCUACCUGGGAGCAGAGGAGUGCUCCUGGGCAAAGCCAUAGCGCUCAUUGGAUUGGAAGGCAAUUCCGAAGAGACCCACAAUGCAGGAGUGGCAGGACAGGUGCAAGGAG